RNAcentral lists this ribosomal RNA (987 nucleotides) under Plasmodium knowlesi. RNAcentral's name for it is "SSU rRNA". It matches the Rfam family "Eukaryotic small subunit ribosomal RNA", at positions 638 to 1428 of the family's 1831-position model. Lineage: Eukaryota; Apicomplexa; Aconoidasida; Haemosporida; Plasmodiidae. The record is from RNAcentral.
ACAUAACUGAUGCCUCCGCGUAUCGACUUUGUGCGCAUUUUAGCUAUUAUGUGUUCUUUUAAUUAAAAUGAUUCUUUUUAAGAUUCAUCUAUUAAAAAUUUGCUUCGGCAUAAUUUUUUUUGAUGAUCUUGUUACUUUGAGUAAAUUAGAGUGUUCAAAGCAAACAGAUAUAGCAUUUGUGCGUUUGAAUACUACAGCAUGGAAUAACAAAAUUGAACAAGUCAGAAUUUUUUUGUUCUUUUUUCUUAUUUUGGCUUAGUUACGAUUAAUAGGAGUAGCUUGGGGGCAUUUGUAUUCAGAUGUCAGAGGUGAAAUUCUUAGAUUUUCUGGAGACAAACAACUGCGAAAGCAUUUGCCUAAAAUACUUCCAUUAAUCAAGAACGAAAGUUAAGGGAGUGAAGACGAUCAGAUACCGUCGUAAUCUUAACCAUAAACUAUGCCGACUAGGCUUUGGAUGAAAGAUUUUAAAAUAAGAGUUUUUCUUUUCUCUCCGGAGAUUAGAACUCUUAGAUUGCUUCCUUCAGUGCCUUAUGAGAAAUCAAAGUCUUUGGGUUCUGGGGCGAGUAUUCGCGCAAGCGAGAAAGUUAAAAGAAUUGACGGAAGGGCACCACCAGGCGUGGAGCUUGCGGCUUAAUUUGACUCAACACGGGAAAACUCACUAGUUUAAGACAAGAGUAGGAUUGACAGAUUAAUAGCUCUUUCUUGAUUUCUUGGAUGGUGAUGCGUGGCCGUUUUUAGUUCGUGAAUAUGAUUUGUCUGGUUAAUUCCGAUAACGAACGAGAUCUUAACCUGCUAAUUAGCGGCAAAUACGAUAUAUUCUUAUGUAGAAUUGAAUAUAGUGGAUUUGUUAGAUUUUGAAGAAAAUAUUGGAAUUACGUUAAAUGUGAUUCCUUUCCCUUUUCUACUUAAUUUACAUUUCCAUCUAUUUCUUUUUUGCGUAUGAAUGUAUUUGCUUGAUUGUAAAGCUUCUUAGAGGAACGAUGUGUG